RNAcentral lists this ribosomal RNA (78 nucleotides) under Paraclostridium ghonii. RNAcentral describes it as "partial 16S ribosomal RNA". It matches the Rfam family "Bacterial small subunit ribosomal RNA", at positions 1 to 78 of the family's 1533-position model. The record is from RNAcentral. Lineage: Bacteria; Bacillati; Bacillota; Clostridia; Peptostreptococcales; Peptostreptococcaceae.
AUAUUUGAGAGUUUGAUCCUGGCUCAGGAUGAACGCUGGCGGCGUGCCUAACACAUGCAAGUCGAGCGAUUCCUUCGG